UACAGAGGUCUCAAGCGUUGUUCGGAUUCAUUGGGCGUAAAGGGUGCGUAGGCGGCGCGGUAAGUCGGGUGUGAAAGCCCUCAGCUUAACUGAGGAAGUGCGCCCGAAACUACUUGGCUUGAGUACCGGAGAGGGUGGCGGAAUUCCCGGUGUAGAGGUGAAAUUCGUAGAUAUCGGGAGGAACACCAGUGGCGAAGGCGGCCACCUGGACGGAUACUGACGCUGAGACGCGAAAGCGUGGGGAGCAAACAGG
RNAcentral lists this ribosomal RNA (253 nucleotides) under uncultured bacterium. RNAcentral describes it as "partial 16S ribosomal RNA". It matches the Rfam family "Bacterial small subunit ribosomal RNA", at positions 524 to 776 of the family's 1533-position model. The record is from RNAcentral.